Molecule: signal recognition particle RNA, 263 nt
Filed under: marine sediment metagenome
Also listed under: 1 other name
Description: Bacterial large signal recognition particle RNA
Rfam family: Bacterial large signal recognition particle RNA
About the family: The signal recognition particle (SRP) is a universally conserved ribonucleoprotein involved in the co-translational targeting of proteins to membranes. Archaeal SRP consists of a 7S RNA and homologues of the eukaryotic SRP19 and SRP54 proteins.
Source: RNAcentral
CCGCGCUAGACGGGGAGGUAGCGGUGCCCUGAACCCGCAACCCGCUAUAGCGGGGUCGAAUUCCCACCCCCGGCCUUUUCCUGUCGGGCCGGCCGGCGACGGCGGUGUUGACGACCUGGCCCUGCGCAACGGGAACCUGUGAACCCCGUCAGGCCCGGAAGGGAGCAGCGGUAAGCAGGCUCUCCCGUGUGCCGCGGGUACCCCUGGUCCGAGCUUGCCCCGCCGGUACCGCCGGGAGGGACAGGGUCAAAGGUGGGUGCGCG